RNAcentral lists this small nucleolar RNA (143 nucleotides) under Mus caroli (Ryukyu mouse). RNAcentral's name for it is "predicted gene, 24475 (MGP_CAROLIEiJ_G0036167.1)". It matches the Rfam family "Small nucleolar RNA SNORA48". Rfam says of the family: The snoRNA ACA 48 has been identified to guide pseudouridylation of the residue U3797 in the 28S rRNA subunit. Its host gene EIF4A1 (eukaryotic translation initiation factor 4A1) is shared with U67 and snoRNA mgU6-77 Lineage: Eukaryota; Metazoa; Chordata; Mammalia; Rodentia; Muridae. The record is from RNAcentral.
AGUUCCUGGUAGUGGGCAAAGGGAUUUCUGUUGUUGGUGUUAUUCUUGUAUCAAUCAGGGACAGAGCAGAUGGCAGCCCUUUGUUCACCCUAGCUUGACACCUGGCUUGGUGACCAAACCUGUUUUAUGCCUAGGACACAUAA